RNAcentral lists this long non-coding RNA (543 nucleotides) under Ananas comosus (pineapple). RNAcentral describes it as "long non-coding RNA (ACOM_LNC017424)". The record is from RNAcentral. Lineage: Eukaryota; Viridiplantae; Streptophyta; Magnoliopsida; Poales; Bromeliaceae.
CACUACAACAAAAACGGUCUAUAGCGACACUUUUAAGUGUAGAUACAUGUCAAAAAAGUGCUGCUAGCUAAAAUUACCGACACUUUUAAAAAGUGUUGCUAUAUGUGGGGUCGCUAGGUAUAUACUAACAGUUAAAGAAUGUCGCUAUAACCUAAAAGAGUGCUGCUAAUAUACCAACACUUAUUUAAGCAUUUAGCAACCGUCGAAACUCUAUCUCGUUGGCUGCGCUGGCGGAGGAGGACGACAGGAAAGGCUCUUCGUCUAGAAUUUCAGUGGAUUGAGUAAAGAGAGAAGAAAAGAUGGUAAUUGAUUUUUCUUUUUUUUUCUUUUCUAUUUGUAAUCGGGCCAAAUAGACUGGGUGUUGUAGGUUGAGUAGAGUAAUCUUUUAUUUUUGGUUGGAUUAGGCUUUAUAUUUAGACAUUAGUAGAUGUUAUUUUAAGUUUUAGCAUAAAUGGGACACUUACUCAAAAGUGUUCCAAACAUGUGUCCUUAUAACCUAAUUCUGUUGUAAUGCUUAUAAAAAACACUCAAAUAAAUAAAGGG